GGGACGCAGAGAGAAAGCCAGAGCCGGAAAUGGAAAACCGGUGCAAGCGAGGUAUCCGUAAGGGAGGCAAAACCCCCUUACAAGGAGAAGACGUAAUGCGGAGUGAACUAUAAGUAACGAAGCUGGUGAGCUAGCUGCCAAGAAAAGCCGCUAUUGUUUUGUAUGUGCCCGUACCGUAAACCGACACAGGUGGAUGAGGAGAGAAUCCUAAGGCCGGCGGGAGAAGUGUUGUUAAGGAACUCGGCAAAAUGACUCCGUAACUUCGGGAGAAGGAGUGCCACAGAGAUGUGGCCGCAGAGAAAUGGCCCAAGCAACUGUUUAGCAAAAACACAGGUCUAUGCAAAACCGAAAGGUGAGGUAUAUGGGCUGACGCCUGCCCGGUGCUGGAAGGUUAAGAGGAGAGCUUAGCGCAAGCGAAGGUUUGAAUUUAAGCCCCAGUAAACGGCGGCCGUAACAAUAACGGUCCUAAGGUAGCGAAAUUCCUUGUCGGGUAAGUUCCGACCCGCACGAAAGGCGUAAUGAUUUGGGCACUGUCUCGACAACACACCCGGUGAAAUUGAAAUACCAGUGAAGAUGCUGGUUACCUGCGCCAGGACGGAAAGACCCCAUGGAGCUUUACUCCAGUUUGAUACUGGGAUUCGGUACUGUCUGUACAGGAUAGGUGGGAAGCUAGGAAAUGAUGACGCCAGUUGUCAUGGAGCUGACCUUGGGAUACCACCCUUACAGUACUGGGCUUCUAACCUGCAGCCGUGACCCGGCUGGGGGACAAUGUCUGACGGGGAGUUUGACUGGGGCGGUCGCCUCCGAAAGGGUAUCGGAGGCGCUCAAAGGUUCCCUCAGAAUGGUCGGAAACCAUUCGAAGAGUGCAAAGGCAGAAGGGAGCUUGACUGCGACACCGACGGGUGGAGCAGGUACGAAAGUAGGACCUAGUGAUCCGGUGGUAUAACGUGGGAUUGCCAUCGCUCAACGGAUAAAAGCUACCCUGGGAUAACAGGCUUAUCACUCCCAAGAGUUCACAUCGACGGAGUGGUUUGGCACCUCGAUGUCGGCUCAUCGCAUCCUGGAGCUGUAGCAGGUUCCAAGGGUUGGGCUGUUCGCCCAUUAAAGCGGUACGCGAGCUGGGUUCAGAACGUCGUGAGACAGUUCGGUCCCUAUCCGGCGUGGGCGUAGGAUAUUUGAGAGGAGCUGUCCUUAGUACGAGAGGACCGGGAUGGACGGACCGCUGGUGUAUCUGUUGUUGACCAACAGCAUGGCAGAGUAGCCAAGUCCGGCAGGGAUAAACGCUGAAGGCAUCUAAGCGUGAAGCCCCCCUCAAGAUUAGAUAUCCCAUUCUUUAAAGAAAUAAGACCCCUUGAAGACUACGAGGUUGAUAGGUCUGAGGUGUAAGUGCGGUAACGUAUUCAGCUGACAGAUACUAAUAGGUCGAAGACUUAUU
RNAcentral lists this ribosomal RNA (1435 nucleotides) under metagenome. RNAcentral's name for it is "bacterial LSU rRNA". It matches the Rfam family "Bacterial large subunit ribosomal RNA", at positions 1469 to 2925 of the family's 2925-position model. The record is from RNAcentral.